UGACCUCGGAUCAGGUAGGAAUACCCGCUGAACUUAAGCAUAUCAAUAAGCGGAGGAAAAGAAACCAACAGGGAUUGCCUUAGUAACGGCGAGUGAAGCGGCAACAGCUCAAAUUUGAAAUCUGGCCCCCAGGCCCGAGUUGUAAUUUGUAGAGGAUGCUUCUGGCGACGCGCCUUCCGAGUUCCCUGGAACGGGACGCCAAAGAGGGUGAGA
This 213-nucleotide ribosomal RNA is filed under the name Geosmithia morbida. Its description in RNAcentral is "partial 28S ribosomal RNA". It matches the Rfam family "Eukaryotic large subunit ribosomal RNA", at positions 1 to 217 of the family's 3401-position model. The record is from RNAcentral. Lineage: Eukaryota; Fungi; Ascomycota; Sordariomycetes; Hypocreales; Bionectriaceae.